Molecule: transfer RNA, 85 nt
Filed under: Acetobacter sp.
Lineage: Bacteria; Pseudomonadati; Pseudomonadota; Alphaproteobacteria; Acetobacterales; Acetobacteraceae
Description: tRNA-Leu
Rfam family: tRNA
About the family: Transfer RNA (tRNA) molecules are approximately 80 nucleotides in length. Their secondary structure includes four short double-helical elements and three loops (D, anti-codon, and T loops).
Source: RNAcentral
GCGGGUGUGGUGGAAUUGGUAGACACGCCAGAUUUAGGUUCUGGUGACGUGAGUCGUGGGGGUUCAAAUCCCUUCACCCGCACCA